AAUGUAUUGCGUUUUCUCUAUCGGUUUAUUUAUUUAUUUUUGUUCUUGUGAUUUUUCGGUUUCAAUUAAAAAUGUGUAAUAAAUAAUUGCAAGAAUUGAAAGCAAAAGGUGCUAUGGUGAGGGUGGAGGUUGUGCGGGUUGGCGGCGGUGAUGGUGUUUGCGGUCUACUGCAGGAGCAGCCUCCUCAACCCUCAGUUAAUCCUCUUACCCCCAGAUGGACCGCCGUUGUUUCGUCUGAUGCUCCAGUGUUAAGCCACCAUUCCAGAAUCGACGCCCAAGCCCGCCCACACCGCCCACACCACUUCCAAUUCACACAAACCUCACGCCCACGACUGCCACCACACGCGCCAUACCCUCCUCCUCAGUGGUUGUGGUGAACGGGUGGGAAGCAGGAGGCCCAUGUGAGGACUGUGGGGGGCAGAGGGGUGGAGGCGGCGCGGGAGGCUGCAACUGCUGUCAGGGGGGGCGCCGUGCCCCCUCCUCCUCCUCGGGAGACGCCCCACCACCCCUCAACGGGCACCUCCAACCACCCCCGACGUCUCAGCUCAUCAAGGUGGCCUUGCUAGGGGCUGCCGGGGUCGGCAAGACGGCCAUAAUUAAGGUAAUU
Long non-coding RNA from Macrobrachium nipponense, 607 nucleotides. RefSeq lists it as uncharacterized. The transcript is spliced from 4 exons. The record is from RefSeq and is a predicted model, not a curated record. Lineage: Eukaryota; Metazoa; Arthropoda; Malacostraca; Decapoda; Palaemonidae.